GGGCAGGGUCCUUUAUACUUAGGCCCUAGUGAACAACAUCACGUUGAACACUCCUAAAAAUCCCAUUUCCAGUAGAAUCUGGACCUAAACCUUAAAUGUGCACACUCCCGAAUGAGGAUUCCAAGCCUCACCGAGAAGUUCUAAGUCCAAGUAGCCAGGAUACGUUUCUACUGACUACUCCUGUUAUUAGGGUAC
This is a long non-coding RNA of Ipomoea nil (Japanese morning glory), 195 nucleotides long. RefSeq lists it as uncharacterized. The record is from RefSeq and is a predicted model, not a curated record. Lineage: Eukaryota; Viridiplantae; Streptophyta; Magnoliopsida; Solanales; Convolvulaceae. The transcript is spliced from 3 exons.